This 497-nucleotide ribosomal RNA is filed under the name uncultured bacterium. Its description in RNAcentral is "bacterial SSU rRNA". It matches the Rfam family "Bacterial small subunit ribosomal RNA", at positions 8 to 507 of the family's 1533-position model. The record is from RNAcentral.
AGAGUUUGAUCCUGGCUCAGGAUGGACGCUGGCGGCAUGCCUAAUACAUGCAAGUCGAACGGAAUCUUAUAUGUUCCUCGUUUCGGAUUUAGUUCCGAGUUGGGGAACAAUAAGAUUUAGUGGCGGACGGUGAGUAACACGUUGGUACCUACCCUCUAGUGGGGAAUAACUUCGAGAAAUCGAGGCUAAUACCGCAUAAUAUCUACGGAUUAAAGCAUUUAUGCGCUAGAGGAGGGGCCUGCGUCUGAUUAGCUUGUUGGUGAGGUAAAAGCUCACCAAGGCGACGAUCAGUAGCUGGAUCGAGAGGUUGACCAGCCACACUGGGACUGAGAUACGGCCCAGACUCCUACGGGAGGCAGCAGUAAGGAAUCUUCCACAAUGGGCGAAAGCCUGAUGGAGCAAUGCCGCGUGCAGGAUGACGGCCUUCGGGUUGUAAACUGCUUUUAUAUGGGAAGAUUAUGACGGUACCAUAUGAAUAAGGACCGGCUAACUACGUG